This 64-nucleotide transfer RNA is filed under the name Brachionus manjavacas. RNAcentral's name for it is "tRNA-Glu". Lineage: Eukaryota; Metazoa; Rotifera; Eurotatoria; Ploima; Brachionidae. The record is from RNAcentral.
ACUUAUGUAGUAUAUCCAGUACUUGAUCUUUUCGCGAUCAAAGUAAAAUCAUUUUUCUUAAGUU